RNAcentral lists this long non-coding RNA (315 nucleotides) under Arabidopsis lyrata. Its description in RNAcentral is "long non-coding RNA (ALYR_LNC000516)". Lineage: Eukaryota; Viridiplantae; Streptophyta; Magnoliopsida; Brassicales; Brassicaceae. The record is from RNAcentral.
CACAUUUUUGGUAGGAUCCACUUGGAUCUGUCCACGUCAUUAUUACAUAAUAAUCCUCUUGGAGUUAAAGAUAUUUUAUUAUGAGAAUCAAGCUUGACCAAUCGGGAGUUCGAUUCGUUUUAUUAAAAAGAGUUUGAUCUUUACCAGUACGGAGUUCGCUCUUAUUCAACAUACAGUUCGCAUAGAGAAAGGCCGAAGCGAGGAGAAUAUUGUUCGAGGUUCGCGGCAGCGUCAAGACGCGGGAGUUCGGAGUCAACAAGAAAGAGUUCGGAAGAUCCGCGCGAAGCCCAAGAUAGUUCAAAUUCAAGCCGUUUC